UUGAUUAAUUACAAUUUUAUUCGCCAGGGAACUACGAGCGUCAGCUUAAAACCCAAAGGACUUGGCGGUGCCCUAUACCUCCUAGAGGAGCCUGUUCUAUAAUCGAUGAUCCACGAUACACCUCACCGUUUCUUGCCAAAACCGCCUAUAUACCGCCGUCUCCAACUUACCCUAUGAAGGAUUUACAGUAAGUUCAAAGAUCACUCAUCAGAACGUCAGGUCAAGGUGUAGCGAAUGAAACGGGAAGAAAUGGGCUACAUUUUCUAUUUUAGAUCACACGGACAAUCAGUAUGAAACCUGAUUAUGAAGGAGGAUUUAGCAGUAAAAAGAAAUCAGCAAGUUCUUUUUAAGUCGGACCUAGGGCGCGUACACACCGCCCGUCACCCUCUUCGACUCAUUUCACCCUAUUUAUAAUAAAAUAAUUGGAGAUAAGAAGAGGCAAGUCGUAACAUGGUAAGUAUACCGGAAGGUGUACUUGGAAC
This 482-nucleotide ribosomal RNA is filed under the name Oreolalax sp. CIB-XM092. RNAcentral's name for it is "partial 12S ribosomal RNA". It matches the Rfam family "Bacterial small subunit ribosomal RNA", at positions 848 to 1524 of the family's 1533-position model. Lineage: Eukaryota; Metazoa; Chordata; Amphibia; Anura; Megophryidae. The record is from RNAcentral.